AAGGUCUCCGUUGGUGAACCAGCGGAGGGAUCAUUACUGAGUUUACGCUCUAUAACCCUUUGUGAACAUACCUAUAACUGUUGCUUCGGCGGGUAGGGUCUCCGUGACCCUCCCGGCCUCCCGCCCCCGGGCGGGUCGGCGCCCGCCGGAGGAUAACCAAACUCUGAUUUAACGACGUUUCUUCUGAGUGGUACAAGCAAAUAAUCAAAACUUUUAACAACGGAUCUCUUGGUUCUGGCAUCGAUGAAGAACGCAGCGAAAUGCGAUAAGUAAUGUGAAUUGCAGAAUUCAGUGAAUCAUCGAAUCUUUGAACGCACAUUGCGCCCGCCAGCAUUCUGGCGGGCAUGCCUGUUCGAGCGUCAUUUCAACCCUCAAGCUCUGCUUGGUGUUGGGGCCCUACAGCUGAUGUAGGCCCUCAAAGGUAGUGGCGGACCCUCCCGGAGCCUCCUUUGCGUAGUAACUUUACGUCUCGCACUGGGAUCCGGAGGGACUCUUGCCGUAAAACCCCCAAUUUUCCAAAGGUUGACCUCGGAUCAGGUAGGAAUACCCGCUGAACUUAAGCAUAUCAA
This 569-nucleotide ribosomal RNA is filed under the name Colletotrichum sp. BDS-2011. RNAcentral describes it as "eukaryotic LSU rRNA". The stretch from base 209 to 362 matches the Rfam family "5.8S ribosomal RNA". Lineage: Eukaryota; Fungi; Ascomycota; Sordariomycetes; Glomerellales; Glomerellaceae. The record is from RNAcentral.